RNAcentral lists this ribosomal RNA (252 nucleotides) under uncultured prokaryote. Its description in RNAcentral is "partial 16S ribosomal RNA". It matches the Rfam family "Bacterial small subunit ribosomal RNA", at positions 524 to 775 of the family's 1533-position model. The record is from RNAcentral.
GACAGAGGGUGCAAACGUUGUUCGGAAUUACUGGGCGUAAAGCGCGUGUAGGCAGCUCGGAAAGUCGGAUGUGAAAGCCCUGGGCUCAACCUAGGAAGUGCAUUCGAAACUUCCGAGCUGGAGUGCUGGAGAGGAAGGCGGAAUUCUCGGUGUAGAGGUGAAAUUCGUAGAUAUCGAGAGGAACACCGGUGGCGAAGGCGGCCUUCAGGACAGUUACUGACGCUGAGACGCGAAAGCGUGGGGAGCAAACAG